UACGGAGGAUGCAAGCGUUAUCCGGAAUUAUUGGGCGUAAAGCGUCUGUAGGUGGUCGCGUAAGUCUGUUGUUAAAGCUCAGGGCUUAACCCUGAAUCAGCAGUGGAAACUACGUAACUUGAGAACAGUAGGGGCAGAGGGAAUUCCUAGUGUAGCGGUGAAAUGCGUAGAUAUUAGGAAGAACACCGGUGGCGAAAGCGCUCUGCUGGGCUGUAUCUGACACUGAGAGACGAAAGCUAGGGGAGCGAAAGGG
This 253-nucleotide ribosomal RNA is filed under the name uncultured prokaryote. RNAcentral's name for it is "partial 16S ribosomal RNA". It matches the Rfam family "Bacterial small subunit ribosomal RNA", at positions 524 to 776 of the family's 1533-position model. The record is from RNAcentral.